Molecule: unclassified non-coding RNA, 2263 nt
Filed under: Cotesia glomerata
Lineage: Eukaryota; Metazoa; Arthropoda; Insecta; Hymenoptera; Braconidae
Description: uncharacterized LOC123260043, transcript variant X2
Source: RNAcentral
UGCGUAAAUAUGGGAAAAACUACAAAAAAAUGCCAAAAAAAUAAAUCAAGCAAAAAAAAUAAAAUUAAAUCUGUGAAUCUAAGUGUUAACAACAGUUCCAAGGCUCCAAAAAUGGCUGUUGUCUUAGUUAAUACGUGUAAGAAUGUUUCAAAAAAAAAAUAAAUCUACGCGUAUAAAUUAUUCUCCUGAUGAUUUAGCUAAUGCUUUGAAAGCUGUCGAUACAGGUGUUUCACUGAGAAAAGCUGCUGCAGUGUACGGAGUGCCCAUAGCUACACUCUCUAGAAAAAAAGGGAACCCUGAAAUAUCCAAACAAAAAACUGGAUCAGCAACUGUUUUUUCUGAUACCGAAGAACAAAAAAUAGUUGACUGGAUUCUUUUUAGAGCUCAGCGUGGUUUACCAGUAACUAAAACAGAGCUCUUAGAUUCUAUUCAACAAUAUGUGAAAAUGUCAAAAAAAGAAACUCCGUUUAUUGAUAGUCGGCCGAGCCGACAUUGGUAUGAGGGCUUUCGAAAACGACACCCUCAAAUGUCAAUCAGGAAACCACAACAUCUGACUCAUAGUAGAGCAGCAGUGACCGGUGAUGACCUGAAAGAUUGGUUUGAUGAACAAGCUAAGUAUUUAACAGAAAAAAAAUUAAUGGAGAUUCCUUCUACGAGAAUUUUCAACUGUGACGAGACUUAUGUAAGUUUAUGCCCUCCAUCAGAAAAAGUAUUGUUAGCUAAAGGAUCCCGUUCUGCAUAUAAGGUGGUUGAUUCUGAUAAAGAAGGAUUUACUGUAUUGUUUAUGUAUAGUGCUAAUGGUGAUCGUACACCUCCCAUGAUCAUGUUUCCUUAUAAAGAAGAAGUACCAGAGAAAAUUGUCAAAAAUUGUCCUGAACGUUGGGGUGUUGGGCUCUCAGAUAAUGGGUGGAUGAUCUCUGAGUCAUUCUAUGAGUAUAUAACAAAUAUAUUUUACCCAUGGCUAGUGAAACAAGGAACUCAGUUUCCAAUUGUGUUAUAUUUGGAUAAUCAUUCAUCACAUAUGACUAUGCCCCUGGUUACAUUUUGUCGUGAAAAGGGUAUUGAGUUGAUUGGACUUGUUCCCAACUCAACCCAUAUAAUGCAACCACUUGAUAUUAGUUUUUUUCACCCAUUUAAAGAGACAUGGAAAAAAUCUGUACCAAGAUGGAAAAAUUCUAAAAAUUUUUCCCGAGUAAAAAAAGAAGAUUUUCCAUUAGUUUUAAAGUUUGCAUUGGAUGCUAUGGUACAAGAAAAAAAUGCUGUUAUCAGUGGAUUCAAAGCUGCAGGCUUGUAUCCUUUCGAUCCUUCUGCCGUUGACUAUGAUGUAUUUGAUUAAAGAAAGAAAUCUAAAACAACAGUAACUAAAGAAAAUGUACAAGAUGAAGUAACAGAAGAUAAGGAAAAACAUCUAUUAACCUUCAAAAACAAUUUAUUAAAGGAUAUUCUGGAAAAAUUUAAUACUGCUUGGUUAAAUCAGACAUGGCCCAGGGAUCUAGAAAUUAGAGGCUUGUAUAAAUACUGGCUUGAUAUUAGUGGAAAAUCUGGUUCUCAUGAAAAAAGUAAACCAACUGUCAAAGAAGUGACGUUGGUAAAUUUAAAUUUAAACAUAGUAAGACAAGAACAACCCGUAAAUAAUUUAAUUAAUGAUCAAGCCUCUACUUCGAAUGAUAAUAAUAACACUGAUAUGAAUCUUAACGAUCAUAGUCAUUCUUUUAAUGAAGAGUUUCUUCCUUUGAUCAAUAAUCCUAAAACAGACACAUCAGCAUCUUCUGAAGUAUUAUACGAAUUUAUAGUAGAUAAUAAACCUCUAGAAAUUGUCUCUCAAGCUCAGUCAGGUACUGAUCAAAGUAAGAAUUUAAAUUUAUCUGAUGUUUUGGAACGUAACAUUGGUGAUGAAUUAAUAUUUGAAUCAAAUGUUUUGGAUGCUGAUAAUCAAACAGAUUUUCUUGACAGUACAUCUGCUAUUACAACUGCUUCUACUGCUGCUUGUACUACGCCAACUAUUGACAAAUAUUCUAAGGUUCAAGGAUGUCAAACAUUUAGUCAAUCAGUUAUUGUUGAAACCGAUUCUGGGAAUCCUUUUGACGACGCAUUUAAGAUGCCAACUGAUUAUUUACCGAAGAAAAAAAGGAUUAAACUGGAGUCAUCCGGCAAACUCAAACUACCUUCUGCUGGUACAUCUGAUCAGUGGAUGUAAUAUCACUCGAAAAAAGAAAAUGAUCGGAAAAUAAAAGAAGAAAAGUUACAAAAAAGAAAAAUAAUU